Molecule: RNA transcript, 1405 nt
Organism: Cercocebus atys (sooty mangabey)
Lineage: Eukaryota; Metazoa; Chordata; Mammalia; Primates; Cercopithecidae
Gene name: nuclease-sensitive element-binding protein 1 pseudogene
Exons: 3
Source: RefSeq, a predicted model, not a curated record
AUGAAUAAUGUUUGUGGUUAUCAUGGCUUAAACUACACUUCUGUGACAGCAAGUGGGAAUGAUAAUGAUAAGAACAACGCGGUUUUGGCUCAGUCAGACAUCCGUAGUGGACCCCAGAGAUCCCUGAGCAGCCCCCACCGCCGCCUCCGGCGCUAGUUACCAUCACACCCCGGGAGGAGCCGCAGCUGCCGCAGCCGGCCCCAGUCACCAUCGCCGCAACCUUCAGCAGCAAGGCCGAGACCCAGCAGCCGCCCGCCGUCCCCGCCCUUAGCGCGGGUGACACAACACCAGGCACUAUGGGCAGCGGCGUAGGAAGUGGUGGCCCAGGCGGCUUCACAUCAGCGGCACCUGCCGGCGGGGACAAGCAGGUCACCGCAACUAAGGUUUUGGAAACAGUAAAAUGGUUCAACAUAAGGAACGGAUAUGGUUUCAUACAGGAAUGACAUUAAGGAAGAUAUAUUUGUACCCCAGACUGCCAAAAAGAAGAAUAAACCCCAGGAGGUACCUUCGCAGUGUAGGAGAUGGAGAGACUGUGGAGUCUGAUGUUGUUGAAGGAGAAAAGGGUGCGGAGGCAGCACGUAUUAUAGGUCCUGGUGGUGUUCCAGUUCAAGGCAGUAAAUAUGCAGCAGACCGUAACUCUUAUAGAUGCUGUCCACGUCAUAGGGGUCCUCCACCCAAUUACCAGCAAAAUUACAAGAAUAGUGAGAGUGGGGGAAAGAACGAGGGAUAGGAGAGUGCCCCCGAAGGCCAGGCCCUACCACGCUGGCCCUACCGCAGGUGAAGGUUCCCACCUUCCUACAUGUGGAAACCCUAUGGGCGUGGGCCACGGUAUUCCAACCCUCCUGUGCAGGGGGAAGUGAUGGAGAAUGCUGACAACCAGGGUGCGGGAGAACAAGGUAGAUCGAUGCGGCAGAGUAUGUAUCAGGGACAUAGACCACGAUUCUGCAGGGGCCCUCCUUGCCAAAGACAGCCUAGAGAGGACAGCAAUGAAGAGGAUAAAGAAAAUCAAAGAGGUGAGACCCAAGGUCAGCAGCUACCUCAACGUCGGUACUGCCGCAACUUCAAUUACAGAUGCAGACGCCCAGAAAACCCUAAACGGACCGGGCAAAACCCUAAACCACAAGAUGGCAAAGAGACAAAAGCAGCCGAUCCACCAGCUGAGAAUUCGUCAGCUCCCGAGGCUGAGCAGGGCGGGGCUGAGUAAAUGCCGACUUACCACCUCUACCAUCACCCAGUUUAGUCAUCCAACAAGAAGAAAUAUCAAAUUCCAGCAAUAAGAAAUGAACAAAAGAUUGCAGCUGAAGACCUUAAGUGCUUGCUUUUUGCCCGUUGACCAGAUAAAUAGAACUAUCUGUAUUAUCUAAGCAGCAUGGGGUUUUUAUUAUUUUUACCUAAAGAUAUCUCU